AUGGCUUGCUUUUGUUAUGUCAUACCAAAUCUCGAUGCUCUUGGUAGUUUCUGCUGCAUUUUCUGCCCAAUGCAUGUAAUGGAACUUUGUGUUUGGCUGGGAGUAUCUACUUUCUAUUACCAACCAAAUCUCUCUCUGCCUGCUUUGCAUUUCCGUUUGUGCUAUAUAUUGUCUACUACCGGUUUAGCUAAAACAGGAAAAUGUGGGGUUCUUUGCAUUUCCGUCUGUGCUAUGUAUUUUCUACUACUGGAUUCUUAUAUGCAAUUAUGUACAGUUCUCUUCCCCCCUUUAGUUUCUCACAUUUCUCCUUCAUCUUCCUGUGACUGUAUUUUUCUCUUGUGGGCAAAGAGUACUUGUCCUUCAAGUAGAUAG
RNAcentral lists this ribosomal RNA (372 nucleotides) under Triticum aestivum (bread wheat). Its description in RNAcentral is "partial small subunit ribosomal RNA". The record is from RNAcentral. Lineage: Eukaryota; Viridiplantae; Streptophyta; Magnoliopsida; Poales; Poaceae.